GAUCUUGAAGAAAUCUCUCCGUAUAAAACGUGAAUCUAACUAAUUAGAUUAGAUCCUUCAUCAAUGAGGAACGGGAUCCGGGUGGUUAGGUGAAAAAUGUGUGUCUUUGGCUCCUAAAUGAACCAUAAAGGUGAAGAAUAAGCACAAAAGAUGAACAUAUUGUGUCAAGAAGCAGCUUCUGCAGAGGAACAUUAUAGUGUUUAAAAAUGUUUGUUUAUCAGCAUUGUAAAAUGAUUCUAAAUGGCAUUGAAGUAAGAAAUGAGAAGAGAAUGUCAGAGCUGCGAGAGAAAUGUGUGAGACUCACACAAGCUGAGGGAACAAGUGAGGAAAUACUUCAAGCAAGAUGUUUCUGUGAAAGAGUCGAUAGAAACUGAUUUGAGCCCAAAACUGACCUGUUGUGUUUCUCUGUUUGCUGAAACAGCACCUGACACAACUUCUGUGAACAUAAAGGACAUCAUUUGUUAAUUUGUCUGGUGGAGGCUUGACUGAAGUAGACAAAUAUUUGCAAGGUGUAUUUUAUUUAAUAUUAAUGUGAAUCUUACUCGAUUGUUGUUUCAUCAUCUUGUUCAUAAACUUGAGUGAGACGAUCAGUAUGAUUAUUACGACAAUAACACCUAUAACCAAAUAUAGAACAUAGCCUGGACAAAGACAGAGAAAGAGGACGGAUGUGAGAAAAGAUCAUUCACACUUCAUGGUACUUAGCAUGUGCUCAUCUCCUCUUUGCUACUAAGGAAUCUUUCAAUAAUCACAAACUUGCUUUUCACAGGAAAUGAGAACACAGAUAUUCUUGUUCUAUGAACUGCACCAUUUUAUAUUAAGGAGGCAGACAUGAUGCUGGAACAUCUUAUAAUUUAUGAAUAAAGUGGUGCUGGCAGUACUUGUGUAUGUGAGCAUUGCAUUGACAAGUGUGUGUGUAUCUAUCUAUCUAUCUAGAUGUAUUCUUAUACAACUUUAAUCAACAUCAAAUUAUAUAUGCAGUCAAUAUACUGUAACAUGUUCAUGGAUGAUGUACUCACUAACUGAUCCUUGUGCUGGUGCAUCAGGUGGUGUAUUGAGGGUGGUGUAUGACGUAGACGUAUCAAUAAUAACAUCUGAGCUGUUAGAAAACAUCGUGGAGCUCUUUGUAAAUGAGGAGGUGGGAACAACAAUGACAGUUUGUGGAGUCAUGCUGGGACUGGGGGGCGGAGCUGAAAAUAACAGACAAGUGAACAUACCAACAAUUAAGAAAGUUAUUACUUUUGGGCAAACAAGGAUUUUCUCAAUAAGAAUAUUUAGAGAAUAAACUCACCAUCAGUGACUUUUAGAUUCACCUUUAUAUAUGAGUCAGGGCCAAAUCUCUCCAGUCCACAAUAGUAUAUAUUGGAGUCUGACUUUUGGAGAUUGCUGAAGGUCACGAACAAGGUUUUUCCUUCGUUAUGUAACUCUAUUCUGUUUUUAUUUUCAAUUUUUCCAUAUGCUGCUUUAAUGAUGAUGUGUCGGUCCUCCGUGCAUGGACUGUAACAAAAGUACUUGACAUUCUCUGUUACAUCAGCCCAAACGUUCCGGUCUGAGCAGCUGAUUGUCACACUUUCACCAACACGACGAUUUAUGUUCAGAGGCUUCAUCUGCACAACACUCAGACCUACAAGCAGAAAUAAAGGAGACAUUUUGCCUUUGUCAUAGUUCAUACGUACAUUUCCUUUGACGUUAGUUUUUACUAUUCAUGACGGCAAAUUUGAAAAAUAAAAUAAACCCCUAAUUGAAUUAUACAUGUUUCAAUCAACAGCUACAUCUUUUGUACGCAAGCUACAGUUUGUGUAAAUGCAGAAGAUACAGAAAAAAACUAACUCACCAGAAAGAAGACAAAAGUAAACAUAGAUUUUUAUCAUCGUGAAAGUGAGAGAGUGAGUGAACGAGUGUGUAGGAAUCAUCAGGUCAGUCAUCACCGUCUUCACGUCCCUCCUUCACUUCCUCUUAUUGUCUCCAGUUGAUGCUCCUCCUCCUCCUGCAACACACAAGCUGUUUCUCAUUUAGUGGCCGUGUUCCUCUAUUGACUCAGCCUCUGAUGUGGACGGGCGGCCGGGUGCUUCUACGAAAGGAAAUGGUCUGGCCUGUGAGGGACUUCCUGUUUGUGCCACCAGCUUUUCAUGUGCUGCUCCUGUUGCUGCAGAAAGCUUGACAGUAAAGCUUUAUAUCUCAAAAAAUAUAUAAAAUACAGCCAGAUCAUAAUCUUCUCAUUUCAUUUCAUUCAUGAAGAUAUUCUUUACCUCUGGAGCAUCAUACCU
Gasterosteus aculeatus aculeatus (three-spined stickleback) is the source of this 2264-nucleotide long non-coding RNA. Lineage: Eukaryota; Metazoa; Chordata; Actinopteri; Perciformes; Gasterosteidae. The record is from Ensembl.